AUUGAACGCUGGCGGAAUGCUUUACACAUGCAAGUCGAGCGGCAGCACGGGGCAACCUGGUGGCGAGUGGCGAACGGGUGAGUAAUAUAUCGGAACGUGCCCAAUCGUGGGGGAUAACGUAGCGAAAGUUACGCUAAUACCGCAUAUUCUGUGAGCAGGAAAGCAGGGGAUCGCAAGACCUUGCGCUGAUUGAGCGGCCGAUGUCAGAUUAGCUAGUUGGUGAGGUAAAGGCUCACCAAGGCGACGAUCUGUAGCGGGUCUGAGAGGAUGAUCCGCCACACUGGAACUGAGACACGGUCCAGACUCCUACGGGAGGCAGCAGUGGGGAAUUUUGGACAAUGGGGGCAACCCUGAUCCAGCCAUGCCGCGUGAGUGAAGAAGGCCUUCGGGUUGUAAAGCUCUUUCGGCCGGGAAGAAUCGCAUGGGUUAAUACCCUGUGCGGAUGACGGUACCGGCAUAAGAAGCACCGGCUAACUACGUGCCACG
This 486-nucleotide ribosomal RNA is filed under the name uncultured bacterium. RNAcentral's name for it is "bacterial SSU rRNA". It matches the Rfam family "Bacterial small subunit ribosomal RNA", at positions 30 to 512 of the family's 1533-position model. The record is from RNAcentral.